Molecule: long non-coding RNA, 1728 nt
Organism: Dromaius novaehollandiae (emu)
Lineage: Eukaryota; Metazoa; Chordata; Aves; Casuariiformes; Dromaiidae
Source: Ensembl
AAAUAUAUAAAUAUAGAGUUCCUGGUUUCAUUCUGAUGUGGAACAGGUUAGUGUCCCACAGGAUGGAAAGUAACUUCCUGUCCAGCUCUGCGAAUAAAUUCUUAGCAGCAAACUUAUUUCUGUGUUAUUUUUCAAGUUCAUAUAUUUUCCCUAUUCAUCUCCUGUUUUCAGGUAGACUGUGGCAGAAUUGCUUAGAGAGCUGACGCCCGCACUGAGCUCAGCACAUCCGCUUCAGCUGAGAAAGCUGAAGCCAAAAAGGUGUGAGGGGAGAUUUACUGACACACAUUGAACCCAGUGAAAUACUGAGGAAAUGAAACUAGGUUAGGUGAAUAAGGACAUGAGGUCCACUGCAUGUGUUUGGGAGGAAGGAGGAUGGAUGGGCAGGCAGAAAAGAAGGGCAGUUACCCCUCGGAGGAGGCUACUAGGGAGCUACUCAGCUCCCUAAGACUGGUAGAGCGCUUUAGGUCCCACUGCUUCAUCUCUGCUAUGGCAAAAGACGGAGCUUUCUGGAAUAUGCUGCGAUAAAUGAUGUGUGUCUGGCAUACAGGACUCCUCAUAAUUUUGUUUUUCCUCCUCUUUCCAAACUAGUCUUGUUAGUAUUGUGUAUGCAUUGGGAUAUCGUAGUCCUAAAGUCUUGUUUUUUUCCCUUUCAACUUUUUAUCCAUCCUGUUGAGCCUGGUCAAUGGAGCAGGUUGUCUUCUCAGACCAAACCACUGAAUGACAAAGUUGUUUUAUGUUUUCCUGCAGUGUCAAAGAAGGUUACAUGGAAGAGCAAGUACCAAGGAUGCAAAGCAGGGCUUCAAAAACCAAGUGCCUGUAACACAAAACUGGCUUAGACUUGUUCUGAAUCAAGGGGAGGAAAAUGAAGUGACUGGAAGUCUACAUGGAACUGCUGAUCAGGGAGAAGGGAGAACAAGGUUUAGCUAUCAGACAAUAAAUGGCCUUGAAUGGAAGAAAACUGCAUUAAAAUGAAGCAGCUUCCCUUGAGACGAAAGGCACUGAGCAAGUCUGAAAACAAAUUCUGUCUCAAGCUGUGAUACCUUUCUUUUUCUUUUGCCUUAGGAAGUUGGUAAGGAUAAGCAKUGCUUGUCAAAUAGCAGUUUGUUAGCUGUCAGCAGCACCUGGAGGUGACAAAACCAAAAAUCAGUUUUUGCACAUUUUCAAAUAGUGGCCAGUUGUUGAGUUGAAAAGAGAGGAAUCAUCAGAUGUUGCUUAUCAAACAAAGACAUAGUUUUCAUGCUCAGCACCUCAAAGAAAACUUAGAUUUUCAGUUCUUAGGACUCAGAAAAAGACCUUUGUUCCUUUGAAGUAAUAACAAGCGAUGUGAAAUGAAUUUUAAUCAGGACCUGCCAAUAUCUAUCAGUGCACAGCAUUUCAUAUCUCAGAUAGUAACAGUCUGGAGAAAAUGACAGACUGCAGAAAGUAAAAUCUGGAGGCGAAGCACAGUUUCCUGUAUCCAGGUCAGAUAAAGGUGCAGAAUGUCUUUUGGGUAUCAGCAGUGCCUUCUACCAGAGGAUAAAAAGCACAAGACAGCUCCUCUUCUACAUAUCCUUAAUAUGACCCUGGUAUGUGAUGGAUUUUUAAAUAUCUGCCAUUAAAACCCAAAUGGAAUGAAUGUGUUUGCAAAAGAAAUACAAAACAAAGCAAAUAGAACAGGGGCCUGUAAUACAGCAGCAAUAUUCUGUGUUUACCAAUAAAGAUACUUGAUGCAAUAAUGAAAAAUAAGAU